ACCUGUAAUUUAGCCUCCGGAUUUCUGCCCUCUGUUACCCUCUCUCCUUGGUUUCCUCACUUACUUCCCAAUGAGGAAAAUAAAGUCGUGAGCCUUCCACCCUGGUUGAUAGAUUCAUUGCAAGCAGCUGAGACUUUUAGUACGGGCCACAGUUAAGAGUCAGUGGGGCUCAGUGAGACUGUAGGAUUGGAUGCAGUUGAUCCAGGCAGUGCUUGGGUUGCUGGGGAUCUUUUGGGGCUCAUGUGUCCCCUCUUCCAGGAAUUUCGUCUUUACAAAUGGAGUGACCCUAACAGCUUCCAGCUCUGACCAGUCUUCUUCAGUGUUUUUUUUUUUUUUUUUUUUUGGUCUUUUUCGUUUUUAUCGGUACCAGGGAUUGAACUCACAACUGCCUACUUGCAAGGAAGGCGCUUAUGCCGCUGAGCUAAAUCCCCAGCCCCCCAGUCUUCUUCAGUGGACUCAGAAUAGCACAGACGCUGCCACUCAUGCCACAUCUAGCUGAUGCACCAGAGGCCAGGUUGUCAAGGCUUCCACGUGGUCUCCGAGCUAUCCCUGUACCCAGACACGCUAUUUCAGCUGCCAUGAAAGGAAAUCUUGCUCUGCGCUGAAGGAUUCUGGAGACAUGCGGUGAUUCUUCCUGUCGCCUUUGUCCAGCAACUGUGCGGCGGCACCAUUUUGGAGACGUUCCAUUUCCUGCUGAAAACUUUGAGUGAAGAUUUUUGCCUUCUCCAACGCUACCCUUUUAGAGUCUCAAAGGCUUGCCUGCUGGUGUAGAAAAGGUUUCCAGAGACUCUAUUGCUCACUUUGGGUAAGAAACCUACAGGCAGCCAGAGAGAAACAAGCAGGAUGUGGAACCCAGGGUCUGUGGAGCAGCCUCAGUUCUGGGGCUGCUGCCAGCUGCCAGCAGGACCCUGCAGAAGAACAAAGAGAAGCAGCUAUAAUAUGUGACUGCGAGUUAGGCUCCUUGGGGGCCCUUUGUGGUUUAGGGGCUCAUGAUAGAGGAAAUGUUAGUGGUUUACCCAAGUUAGAAAAUAAUGUCAUAACCCAAGGAAUUUCAAGAAGGCAAGUAGGAAAUCACUUUAAAGUUAAGUAUAAAGGUCAGAGUUAGGUUGUUAGUGGGGGACAGCAAAGUCUGCAAACAUUUUGAAGGAAAAGAUAAAAUACUUCAAGAGCUAUAAAGACCUAGGAAACCAGGAAAGAACCCUUCUAAGCGCUUGGUUCUGGUAUUCCCAUAUCUGGUAGAAAAAUUGAGAAUGGUCUCUGGGAAUGAGGGGGAAUCGUGGAAGUAAAUCAAAUUGUGAGUUUUUAAUACUUAUUACUCUAGUGGUUUCUAUACUUGGGGAUGAACAAAAUCUAAUUUAGAUGAAAAUAACAUAGUAAGCCCUACUUUAUGGCAUUUUGAAUAUAAAGACAGGGGUCACUUCAUUUGCCUGGGGGCUCCUACUGCUGAAUGACAGGCAGAACAGCCCUUCACUCAUUGCAAAGAAUGCAGUAAAACCAUUUUCUGAGAGUGGGGAAGCUACUGCAGAGGGACCAGGGGAUUCAGUGUGUUGCCCUUGGGCCUUGCACAAAAUUGUGACCUGUUUGUGGUUGUGGCAGAACAAUGUGUAAAGAGCGCACCACAACGUGUGACCAUCUUGUGCAUUUUGGCUUUCUUUUUUACUCUUGAUUUGUGUCCUGUGCUCCCUUCAAAUGAGGAUGUAGGGACAGGGACCCUGCCUGUGAUGUUCACUGCUAAAUCUUAAGUUUGUAAAGGCAUAGGACCAGCUCCAAAAGAGUGGCUCCAUGAUUGGCUGUGUCUGCUUCCCUUAGGGCUGGUCUUUCUAGUUUUUGGACAAAACGCUUUCCUGCUUGCCAGUCAUGUUUUGCAGAAAUUAAGCUUCCUUUAGAGAUGUAGCAAAGGCCAGAGAAUAAAGAGCAAGGGAAGCACAGUUGUAGAUGUCAGCAGAACCUCAAACAUCAGAGGACAUGGUGGUUGGCCACCAGGGUGAGUUGUACCAUCACUGAAACAAGGAAAAAAGGAUUACGGACUCUGCGCAUUGCAUGACACUGCUCACCUUCAAACAAAUGUCUCUUAAGCGUGCUUGUUUAAGCCCUCAAGAGGCAAGCUGGAGGGCAAGGUAGGCUUCAGUCCCAGUAAACACAGGGGACAUGGUCACCGAGCAGUCACCAGAGGCUACUUGUGGAGCUUCCAUCAGAACCAUGUCCCUUUAUCCUACUUAGAUCAGGGUUCUUCUCCCUAAUUGUGGGAGAUGCCAGGGCUGCAGUCUUUCCUAGUAGAUGACAACCUCAUGUCUGGAACGCAGACAGUGAAAAUUUGAAACAGCAGCUUCAUGGGAGCUAUGAGGGUAUUUUGGCUGUGUGAUGACACUUAAUGGCCACCAAGGAAAAUAACCACAGGCUUAAAGGCAAUGUCAACUUGAGCUCAGUUAGGCAGGUGAAUGGAGACCUCCCUCAAUAAGAACCAGUUUCUGUUUUCUGCUUUUUCCUAUAGUUUGAAAAACGUAUCCAAAGAGCCAAGCACCUGGGAAGCAGGGGCCAUUUCCUUCACAAACAGGAAAUACUCAAAGGCAAAUUGUAUGUCCACAUUUCUCUCCCGACACUGUUCAAGUUUGGGAUUGAGACCCAAGGUCUGUUCUGCGUCACUUGCGUGUGAUGGAGCAGUGUCCCUUGAGUUCCACACUGCAACUAUGCCUGGGAAGCUGUGGGUCCCAAUUUCUUCAGGAUCCCACUUGCUGCCAGUCACGGAACACCUUGUGAACAUGGAUGCAGACAUGUGCACAGUGACAUUUUUGUUAGUGACAGUGAUAUAGGGAAAUGAAACUCCCAACCUACUAUGUCCCGUAUAAGUUUGUGUUCUCUAAAAUCGAAGAAUGACUUUUAGGAACAUUGGAGACUAAGAGCAGAAUAUAUUGAGAGAAAGCAAGCUUCUGUCUGAGAGAGAUCCAAGGAGCCCUGAGCGGGUUGCCAGGGACUCUGUCUUUUCCAGGGAUUUUUAUAGGGUAAAAUCAUGGGGUGAGAGGGUUCAAGUUGGGGAAAACUGGGAACUCACAAGGCAGAUGGGCAUAAGGUGGGACAGAACUAUAGUUAACCGAUAAAAUUAAUAAUUCAGGUAAAAUUAAGUUGGGGACAAAUGGGGAAGAGAGUCAUGUAGAAAGCAGGCGUUCUUAGGGAGCAGUGCCUCUUGCCUAGGAGGUUGGAAUGGUGACUCCUGGCUUCCUCAUGAUGAUAGGGAACUAUUUAGGAUAUCAGUCCUUACGGUGUGGGUGUGUUUGCUUUGCCUUUUGUCUUGAGAUUGGACCAACAGCAGGAGGUGUCUGUCUCCCCCCACCCCCAGGUGCAAGGUAUCUGGGCUUCUGCACUGGCUCUUUGGAGGACCUAGCCCUGUCUCACUGCCUAUAAUAUUUCUAACUAACUAGGCUGCCAGUAACAACAGGAUGCUUCCACAGAGGUGGCUAUGCCAUGUAACUGAGGCAUGCAGCAGGCCGUCUCAUCUAACCUUGUGUAGGUCCCCGGAUGAUGUUUGCACAAGGAUAGAAUCACCGGAUGAUGCAUGUCUUAGAAUGUGUCCUCAUAGUGUGUGCCCAUCCUUAAAGGGCUCAUGACUGUCCAUACAUGGUGAUGCCCGAGUUAACUGUAAACUGAAGGUCACAGAAUUUAGGGAAGUGGGAAAAAUGUUCAGUCAUAAACACACAUCCAGACAUGUGGGCGGAGGUGACUUCCCUUUCCUACUGCUGCUAGCCUGGAAGGAUUCUUAGCAGGAGCCCUGAGAUGGCUCGCUCACUUGAGGAAAUUGAGUACAGCAAUAGUAAGCUCACAAGUCAGAUUUUAAUUUUUUAAAGCUAUGUGAUAUUUUACCCUAUUAACACAAAGGUUUCAGUUAAGAGGAGGCUUUUAAAAUUACUGUUGAUUUGCAUGGUUUUUUUUGCUGCAUCCUCAUAUGAAAUAUUGCUAGGGCAUCUUCUGCUCCAUAUUUUAAUUAAUCUUUCUAUUUCAUUUAUUUGUUAGAGAGCAGAGAUUCUCAAUUGCUUUAAAAUGAAGCAGCAUUAAAGGCCAGAGUAGGUCAGAAGAGUCCAGGGUAAGCCACUGCCUGCUUUCUCUAAAUGGGGUUAUUUAGAAUUUUAAAGUCCUGUAACUUCUCAUCCUCAAAUGUGUUCUGAAGAUGAAUUGAGGGCCUGCCAGUGUACCAGGGUCAGUCCUUGACUGCCUAUGGAUAAUUGAAGUCCACAGACAAUAGCAUCUUCUCUCCAUCCAGUGGUUUUUAAUCUCAUCACAUACUCACCCUUCACCAAGUACUUCUUGUAACUCUGAAGAGAAAGCCAGGGUUCACAUUUUCUAAUGGUGUUUGUUUUCUAAUGCAAAAGGGAGUAGAUAAAAGGGUAGGUCAUGGGAGGAAGGCAAGAAAAGGGGGACCGCAGGGAUAAAGUGGACGGCAGGAUGUCUGCAAUGCCCUAGACAUGACAGUGUUCGGUUCGCAGGUCCUCGCCUCCCCUCAGCCAAAAGCAGCCGAAUGUGUGUCCCAGCAGGAAUCACCCUGUUUUCCUGGGGGAUGCCUCCAAAUGCAAAUUAUUGCUUGCUCUUUGAUAUUCUGGAAGCCUUGUUGGAGGCCUUCAAAGUUUGGAGCAUUUGUGGAAUCUGAGGAAUCAAUCUACCUUCUCCUUGGUGUCUGCUCCUCCUUUCUCUGGUAGAAAAGAUAAACGAAACUUCCAUUAUUCAACCCAUGCUAUUGUGGUGGCAGUUUCCUUUGAGCCUCUUGGCAAAACCCUGUUUGCUUUAGAACUGUACAUCAUAUUGGAUCCAUUGAGAGUCAUUAUUUAUCUGACAGGAUAUUUAUAAAAGCCGGCAUUAGCUGCAGUGCCAAGUCAAUAUGUUUCUCUCUGGCUGAUACACAUCACACCAACAGGCUUGAAAUAUUUAAAUACAAUAGUCCCUUCAAGAAAUCAUUAAUUUUUCUAUCACUGCUAGAAGUGAUAAUUUGAUGGAAAUGCAUUUCCCUGAAAUGGCUGAGCUGACUCGAGUGGAUAUUUUAAAGUCCCUGGACUUCAGAGAAGUUGGUGCAGGGCAGUCAGGGCCCUAUAGAGGACCAGAACCCAGGUGUCUUGGGGUGGUGGCUUUAAGGUGGCC
Long non-coding RNA from Cavia porcellus (domestic guinea pig), 5121 nucleotides. RefSeq lists it as uncharacterized. The transcript is spliced from 3 exons. The record is from RefSeq and is a predicted model, not a curated record. NCBI's taxonomy places the organism in Eukaryota, Metazoa, Chordata, Mammalia, Rodentia, Caviidae.